UACAGAGGUCUCAACCGGUGUUCGGAUUCAUUGGGCGUAAAGGGUGCGUAGGCGGUCGUGCAAGUCGGAUGUGAAAUCUCAGGGCUCAACCCUGAAACUGCAUUCGAUACUGCGCGGCUAGAGUGCUGGAGGGGAGACUGGAAUUUACGGUGUAGCAGUGAAAUGCGUAGAUAUCGUAAGGAAGACCAGUGGCGAAGGCGAGUCUCUGGACAGCAACUGACGCUGAGGCACGAAGGCCAGGGGAGCAAACGGG
RNAcentral lists this ribosomal RNA (253 nucleotides) under uncultured bacterium. Its description in RNAcentral is "partial 16S ribosomal RNA". It matches the Rfam family "Bacterial small subunit ribosomal RNA", at positions 524 to 776 of the family's 1533-position model. The record is from RNAcentral.